This 492-nucleotide ribosomal RNA is filed under the name uncultured bacterium. RNAcentral describes it as "partial 16S ribosomal RNA". It matches the Rfam family "Bacterial small subunit ribosomal RNA", at positions 29 to 507 of the family's 1533-position model. The record is from RNAcentral.
AGUGAACGCUGGCGGUAGGCCUAACACAUGCAAGUCGAACGGCAGCACAGUAAGAGCUUGCUCUUACGGGUGGCGAGUGGCGGACGGGUGAGGAAUACAUCGGAAUCUACUUUUUCGUGGGGGAUAACGUAGGGAAACUUACGCUAAUACCGCAUACGACCUACGGGUGAAAGCAGGGGAUCUUCCGACCUUGCGCGAUUGAAUGAGCCGAUGUCGGAUUAGCUAGUUGGCGGGGUAAAGGCCCUCCAAGGCGACGAUCCGUAGCUGGUCUGAGAGGAUGAUCAGCCACACUGGAACUGAGACACGGUCCAGACUCCUACGGGAGGCAGCAGUGGGGAAUAUUGGACAAUGGGCGCAAGCCUGAUCCAGCCAUACCGCGUGGGUGAAGAAGGCCUUCGGGUUGUAAAGCCCUUUUGUUGGGAAAGAAAAGCAGCAGGUUAAUACCCCGCUGUUCUGACGGUACCCAAAGAAUAAGCACCGGCUAACUUCGUG